Molecule: unclassified non-coding RNA, 300 nt
Organism: Callithrix jacchus (white-tufted-ear marmoset)
Lineage: Eukaryota; Metazoa; Chordata; Mammalia; Primates; Cebidae
Rfam family: Metazoan signal recognition particle RNA
About the family: The signal recognition particle (SRP) is a universally conserved ribonucleoprotein. It is involved in the co-translational targeting of proteins to membranes.
Source: Ensembl
GCCAGGCAUGGUGGCGCGUGCCUGUAGUCCUAGCUUCUCAGGAGGCUGAGGCUGGAGAAUCCCUUGAGUUCAGAAGUUCUGGGCUGUAGUGCGCUAUACUGAUCUGGUGUCCGCACUAAGUUCGGCAUCAAUAUGGUGACCUCCUGGGAGUGGGGGACCACCAGGUUGCCUAAGGAGGGGUGAACCAGCCCAGGUCGGAAAUGGAGCAGGUCAAAACUCCCGUGCUGAUCAGUAGUGGGAUUGUGCCUGUGAAUAGCCACUGCACUCCAGCCUGGGCAACACAGUGAGACCCUACCUCUU